UCCGUCCUACGGGGGGCAGCAGUGAGGAAUAUUGGUCAAUGGGCGGAAGCCUGAACCAGCCAAGUCGCGUGAGGGAAGAAGGCCCUGCGGGUCGCAGACCUCUUUGGACGGGGAGCAAGGCCGCCGACGUGUCGGCGGAAGGAGAGUACCCGUAGAACAAGCAUCGGCUAACUCCGUGCCAGCAGCCGCGUUAAUACGGAGGAUGCGGGCGUUAUCCGGAUUUAUUGGGUUUAAAGGGUGCGCAGGCGGCACGGCAAGCCGGCGGUCAAAUCGAGGGGCUCAACCCCGCCUAGCCGUCG
This 299-nucleotide ribosomal RNA is filed under the name uncultured bacterium. RNAcentral's name for it is "partial 16S ribosomal RNA". It matches the Rfam family "Bacterial small subunit ribosomal RNA", at positions 333 to 629 of the family's 1533-position model. The record is from RNAcentral.